GACGAACGCUGGCGGCGUGCCUAACACAUGCAAGUCGAACGAGGUCCAUCCUUCGGGAGAAGACCUAGUGGCGAACGGGUGAGUAACACGUGAGGAACCUGCCCCGAAGACCGGGAUAACCCUCCGAAAGGAGAGCUAAUACCGGAUACCCCCACCGAACCGCAUGGUUUGGUGAGGAAAUGGAUUCCGCUUCGGGAGGGCCUCGUGGCCUAUCAGCUAGUUGGUGGGGUAACGGCCCACCAAGGCAUCGACGGGUAGCUGGUCUGAGAGGACGAUCAGCCACACUGGGACUGAGACACGGCCCAGACUCCUACGGGAGGCAGCAGUGGGGAAUCUUGCGCAAUGGGCGAAAGCCUGACGCAGCAACGCCGCGUGGGGAUGAAGGCUCUCGGGUUGUAAACCCCUUUCAGCAGGGACGAAUCAAGACGGUACCUGCAGAAGAAGCCCCGGCUAACUACGUGCCAGCAGCCGCGGUAAU
Molecule: ribosomal RNA, 478 nt
Filed under: uncultured bacterium
Lineage: Bacteria
Description: bacterial SSU rRNA
Rfam family: Bacterial small subunit ribosomal RNA
Source: RNAcentral